UUUGUAAUAAAAAAAGCCGAUUUUGGAGCUUUUUGGAGCCGCUGGGCUCGCUGAGUCCCCUCCCGCUGGGGACAGCGCGGGGGACACCGAGAGGUCCCCAGCCGAGGGUGGCAGCGGGACGGGCCCAGCCGCGGGGUGACACGGGGACGCUCAGGGUGACACGGGGACGCUCAGGGUGACACGGGGACGCCAGAACGUCCCAACCUAGGGUAAUGUGGGGACACCCCAGGGGACGUGGGGACACCCAAGGGACACCGAAAUGUCCCAAUCCAGGGUGUCACGGGGGGACCCAGGGGACACGGGGACACCCCAGGGGACAUGGGGACACCCCAGGGGACACGGGGACACCCCAGGGGACAGGGGUCACCCAAGGGCCACCGAAAUGUCCCAAUCCAGGUUGACAUGGGGGGACCCAGGGGACACAGGGACACCCCAAGGGGCAGGUGACACCCAGACGCCCCAGCCCCGGGUGGCACGGGGACACCCCAGGGCACAGGGGGACACCCAGGGGACACGGGGAUACCCCAGGGGACAGGGGUCACCCAAGGGACACCGAAAUGUCCCAAUCCAGGCUGACAUGGGGGGACCCAGGGGACCUGGGGACACCCCAGGGGGCAGGUGACACCCAGACGCCCCAGCCCCGGGUGGCACGGGGACACCCAGGGG
RNAcentral lists this long non-coding RNA (666 nucleotides) under Anser brachyrhynchus (Pink-footed goose). RNAcentral's name for it is "lncRNA (ENSABRG00000001405.1)". Lineage: Eukaryota; Metazoa; Chordata; Aves; Anseriformes; Anatidae. The record is from RNAcentral.